Tigriopus californicus is the source of this 462-nucleotide long non-coding RNA. RefSeq lists it as uncharacterized. The record is from RefSeq and is a predicted model, not a curated record. NCBI's taxonomy places the organism in Eukaryota, Metazoa, Arthropoda, Copepoda, Harpacticoida, Harpacticidae. The transcript has 3 exons.
AUGACACUCCGUUAAACACUACAACUUGACAUUCGAUCAAACACGGACGCAAGGCAAGUCCUGGCUCACCAAGGAAUGGCGAUUCUUUGGAAUAUAAAUUACCUCGUUGAAAUGCUAAUGAAACUCUUUUUGGCUACCCAUUCCCAAGAGAGACCAGAUUGCUACAAAGGCUACAACAGUUUUGAUUAGUAAUUAUUUUGCGGAAGCCUAAGGACACCCGAAUUUGAAGUAUCAAAAGCACAAAGAUGCCAUCAAGUCUCAAGGUGUAUUCGAUCAGAAGCCAAACCGGAAUGGCCUUGCAAAAUCUGGAUCGUCGGGGUCAAACAACCCAUAGGCCAAAAUUGUUUUCGCGCGUUGAAAUGAACAACAUCAGACAAAAGAAAAGAGGGUCUAAAACAUCCAGUCCCUAAAAGUGACACUAAUAUGAAAAGAAUACAGGAAUCAGUUCAGGUUUUAUGGGAA